UCCUCGGUAGUAUAGUGGUGAGUAUCCCCGCAUCUCACGCAGGAGACCGGGGUUCGAUUCCUCGCCGGGGAG
Non-coding RNA from Nematostella vectensis (starlet sea anemone), 72 nucleotides. Lineage: Eukaryota; Metazoa; Cnidaria; Anthozoa; Actiniaria; Edwardsiidae. The record is from Rfam.